AGGUUUAAUGGAGUCGGUAAG
Molecule: microRNA, 21 nt
Filed under: Rosa chinensis
Lineage: Eukaryota; Viridiplantae; Streptophyta; Magnoliopsida; Rosales; Rosaceae
Description: sRNA RchiOBHm_Chr3g0453615
Source: RNAcentral